GGGGAAUAUUGCGCAAUGGGCGAAAGCCUGACGCAGCCAUGCCGCGUGUGUGAAGAAGGCCUUCGGGUUGUAAAGCACUUUCAAUUGGGAGGAAAGGUUCACGGCUAAUACCCGUGAGCUGUGACGUUACCUUUAGAAGAAGCACCGGCUAACUCCGUGCCAGCAGCCGCGGUAAUACGGAGGGUGCGAGCGUUAAUCGGAAUUACUGGGCGUAAAGCGCGCGUAGGUGGUCUGUUAAGUCGGAUGUGAAAGCCCCGGGCUCAACCUGGGAACUGCAUCCGAUACUGGCAGACUAGAGUGCGGGAGAGGGAGGUAGAAUUCCACGUGUAGCGGUGAAAUGCGUAGAUAUGUGGAGGAAUACCAGUGGCGAAGGCGGCCUCCUGGCUCGACACUGACACUGAGGUGCGAAAGCGUGGGGAGCAAAC
Molecule: ribosomal RNA, 425 nt
Filed under: uncultured bacterium
Lineage: Bacteria
Description: bacterial SSU rRNA
Rfam family: Bacterial small subunit ribosomal RNA
Source: RNAcentral